RNAcentral lists this ribosomal RNA (451 nucleotides) under uncultured bacterium. RNAcentral's name for it is "partial 16S ribosomal RNA". It matches the Rfam family "Bacterial small subunit ribosomal RNA", at positions 29 to 523 of the family's 1533-position model. The record is from RNAcentral.
AACGAACGCUGGCGGCAGGCUUAACACAUGCAAGUCGAACGCGUGUAGCAAUACACGAGUGGCGCACGGGUGAGUAACGCGUGGAUAUCUGCCCUUUGGUGCGGAAUAACCCCGGGAAACUGGGGCUAAUCCCGGAUGGUUCCUACGGGAUAAAGAUAUAUCGGCGAAAGUUUAGCCCGCGUCCGAGUAGCUAGUUGGUGAGGUAAUGGCUCACCAAGGCUCCGAUCGGUAGCUGGUCUGAGAGGAUGACCAGCCACACUGGGACUGAGACACGGCCCAGACUCCUACGGGAGGCAGCAGUGGGGAAUAUUGGACAAUGGGCGCAAGCCUGAUCCAGCCAUGCCGCGUGAGUGAUGAAGGCCUUAGGGUUGUAAAGCUCUUUCACCCACGACGAUGAUGACGGUAGUGGGAGAAGAAGCCCCGGCUAACUUCGUGCCAGCCGCCGCCGUAA